CUUUCUGGCGGAGGGCGGCCGGGCUCCGCGCUUUUUGAAGAGGCGCGACGACACUUGUUCAGAUCGUCUCGAAGAGAC
RNAcentral lists this transfer RNA (78 nucleotides) under Bacteroidia bacterium. Its description in RNAcentral is "tRNA-Ser". Lineage: Bacteria; Pseudomonadati; Bacteroidota; Bacteroidia. The record is from RNAcentral.